Molecule: ribosomal RNA, 848 nt
Filed under: Neometulocladosporiella seifertii
Lineage: Eukaryota; Fungi; Ascomycota; Leotiomycetes; Helotiales; Rutstroemiaceae
Description: partial large subunit ribosomal RNA
Rfam family: Eukaryotic large subunit ribosomal RNA
Source: RNAcentral
UUAAGCAUAUCAAUAAGCGGAGGAAAAGAAACCAACAGGGAUUGCCUCAGUAACGGCGAGUGAAGCGGCAUAAGCUCAAAUUUGAAAUCUGGCUCUUUCAGAGUCCGAGUUGUAAUUUGUAGAAGAUGUUUCGGGUGUGGCUCCGGUUUAAGUUCCUUGGAACAGGACGUCAUAGAGGGUGAGAAUCCCGUAUGUGACCGGUUGCCUUCGCUCAUGUGAAACUCUUUCGACGAGUCGAGUUGUUUGGGAAUGCAGCUCAAAAUGGGUGGUAAAUUUCAUCUAAAGCUAAAUAUUGGCCAGAGACCGAUAGCGCACAAGUAGAGUGAUCGAAAGAUGAAAAGCACUUUGGAAAGAGAGUUAAACAGUACGUGAAAUUGUUGAAAGGGAAGCGCUUGCAAUCAGACUUGCGCCUAGUUGAUCAUCUGGGCUUCUGUCCAGUGCACUCGAUUAGGCUCAGGCCAGCAUCAGUUUGGGUGGUUGGAUAAAGGCUUAGGGAAUGUGGCCCCUUUCGGGGGGUGUUAUAGCCCUAGGUGCAAUGCAGCCUACCUGGACUGAGGACCGCGCUUCGGCUAGGAUGCUGGCGUAAUGGUUGUAAGCGACCCGUCUUGAAACACGGACCAAGGAGUCUAACAUUUAUGCGAGUAUUUGGGUGUUAAACCCAUAUGCGUAAUGAAAGUGAACGGAGGUAAGAACCCUUAAGGGUGCAUUAUCGACCGAUCCUGAUGUCUUCGGAUGGAUUUGAGUAAGAGCAUAACUGUUGGGACCCGAAAGAUGGUGAUCUAUACGUGAAUAGGGUGAAGCCAGAGGAAACUCUGGUGGAGGCUCGCAGCGGUUCUGACGUGCAAAUC